CAGCCGUAAACUAUGCGCGUUAGGUGUACUGGUGACCACGCGUUACUGAUGCGCCGAAGAGAAAUCGUGAAACGCACCACCUGGGAAGUACGGUCGCAAGGCUGAAACUUAAAGGAAUUGGGCGGGGGAGCACCACAACAGGUGGAGCCUGCGGUUUAAUUGGAUUCAACGCCGGACAUCUCACCGGAUAAGACAGCUGAAUGAUUGUCAAUCUGAAGGUUUUACAUGACUAGCUGAGAGGAGGUGCAUGGCGUCAGUGACU
This 262-nucleotide ribosomal RNA is filed under the name uncultured archaeon. Its description in RNAcentral is "partial 16S ribosomal RNA". It matches the Rfam family "Archaeal small subunit ribosomal RNA", at positions 748 to 1008 of the family's 1478-position model. The record is from RNAcentral.